GAUGAACGCUAGCGGCAGGCUUAACACAUGCAAGUCGUGGGGUAACAGGUGUAGCAAUACAUGCUGACGACCGGCGCACGGGUGAGUAACGCGUAUGCAACCUACCUUUAACUGGGAGAUAGCCCGAGGAAACUCGGAUUAAUACCCCAUAACAUCCUGAAUUCGCAUGUUUUUAGGAUAAAAGCUCCGGCGGUUAGAGAUGGGCAUGCGUGCCAUUAGCUAGUUGGUGAGGUAACGGCUCACCAAGGCUACGAUGGCUAGGGGGCCUGAGAGGGCAAACCCCCACACUGGUACUGAGACACGGACCAGACUCCUACGGGAGGCAG
Molecule: ribosomal RNA, 326 nt
Filed under: uncultured Bacteroidota bacterium
Lineage: Bacteria; Pseudomonadati; Bacteroidota
Description: bacterial SSU rRNA
Rfam family: Bacterial small subunit ribosomal RNA
Source: RNAcentral